Molecule: ribosomal RNA, 299 nt
Filed under: uncultured microorganism
Description: partial 16S ribosomal RNA
Rfam family: Bacterial small subunit ribosomal RNA
Source: RNAcentral
GAGUUUGAUCAUGGCUCAGAGCGAACGCUGGCGGCAGGCCUAACACAUGCAAGUCGAACGAACUCUUCGGAGUUAGUGGCGGACGGGUGAGUAACACGUGGGAACGUGCCUUUUGGUUCGGAAUAACUCAGGGAAACUUGUGCUAAUACCGAAUGUGCCCUUCGGGUAAGGAUUAUCGCCAUUAGAGCGGCCCGCCGUCUGAUUAGUCUAGUUGGUUGGAGGUAAAGGACUCACCAAGGACGACGAUCAGUAGCUGGUCUGAGAGGAGUGAUCAGCCACCAUUGGGACCGGAGACACGG